GCAGCGAAAUGCGAUAAGUAAUGUGAAUCGCAGAAUUCAGUGAAUCAUCGAAUCUUUGAACGCACAUUGCGCCCGCCAGCAUUCUGGCGGGCAUGCCUGUUCGAGCGUCAUUU
RNAcentral lists this ribosomal RNA (113 nucleotides) under uncultured fungus. RNAcentral's name for it is "5.8S ribosomal RNA". It matches the Rfam family "5.8S ribosomal RNA", at positions 45 to 154 of the family's 154-position model. From Rfam's summary of the family: 5.8S ribosomal RNA (5.8S rRNA) is a component of the large subunit of the eukaryotic ribosome. It is transcribed by RNA polymerase I as part of the 45S precursor that also contains 18S and 28S rRNA. The record is from RNAcentral. Lineage: Eukaryota; Fungi.